Molecule: transfer RNA, 77 nt
Filed under: Mesorhizobium tianshanense
Lineage: Bacteria; Pseudomonadati; Pseudomonadota; Alphaproteobacteria; Hyphomicrobiales; Phyllobacteriaceae
Also listed under: 264 other names
Description: tRNA-Pro
Rfam family: tRNA
About the family: Transfer RNA (tRNA) molecules are approximately 80 nucleotides in length. Their secondary structure includes four short double-helical elements and three loops (D, anti-codon, and T loops).
Source: RNAcentral
CGGAGUGUAGCGCAGCCUGGUAGCGCACAUCGUUCGGGACGAUGGGGUCGCAGGUUCAAAUCCUGCCACUCCGACCA